Molecule: ribosomal RNA, 253 nt
Filed under: uncultured bacterium
Lineage: Bacteria
Description: partial 16S ribosomal RNA
Rfam family: Bacterial small subunit ribosomal RNA
Source: RNAcentral
GACAGAGGUCCCGAGCGUUGUUCGGAUUCAUUGGGCGUAAAGCGCGUGUAGGCGGCUUUGCAAGUCGGGUGUGAAAGCCCUCAGCUUAACUGAGGAAGUGCGCCCGAAACUGCAUGGCUUGAGUACCGGAGAGGAUGGUGGAAUUCCCCAAGUAGAGGUGAAAUUCGUAGAUAUGGGGAGGAACACCGGUGGCGAAGGCGACCAUCUGGACGGAUACUGACGCUGAGACGCGAAAGCGUGGGUAGCAAACAGG